GCUUCGUCAACGCGCCGCAGGAUCAAGGCCCACCCCGUGCCGUGCAGUGCUCGCCAUGGGAAGCUGUUCGUGUUUGGCGAGCAAUCCGUGAGAACGUCGUUUCUUCGUUUCGCUAUCGCGUUUCGGGGAGUUGGGCAGCGGCGCAAGUGGGACAGCGCGCUGCGCGGCGAACCCGGUGACGCUCGCCAGCAAGAGACGAGUUGACCGCUGAACCGGCCCCUGGGUCUUUCCCCCUAUCACCAGCACGGUGAAGUAUGGUCAAACAACCCACACAACUAGCACGAGAGUGAUUCGGUGGCACGGAACACAGACGAGAGGGGAAAGCGGCCAACAAUUGCCCGAGCUCUGUGGUCCUGCACUGUGAUGCUUUAUCCAACUCCAUCGAUGAGGGUUUAUUGACGUGGGAGGAAACCGAAGUACACGAAGAAAACCAGCGCAUGCGAGGGGAUAGAAACAUAUCUCUUCUGGCACCUCACUAAGAUUUUAUUAAU
This is a non-coding RNA of Petromyzon marinus (sea lamprey), 491 nucleotides long. The record is from RefSeq and is a predicted model, not a curated record. NCBI's taxonomy places the organism in Eukaryota, Metazoa, Chordata, Hyperoartia, Petromyzontiformes, Petromyzontidae.